RNAcentral lists this ribosomal RNA (527 nucleotides) under Reticunassa paupera. RNAcentral describes it as "partial 16S ribosomal RNA". It matches the Rfam family "Bacterial large subunit ribosomal RNA", at positions 1808 to 2603 of the family's 2925-position model. The record is from RNAcentral. Lineage: Eukaryota; Metazoa; Mollusca; Gastropoda; Neogastropoda; Nassariidae.
UAAAAACAUGGCUCCUUGAUAACUAAUAAUAAGGAGUCGGACCUGCCCAGUGAAUUUUUUCAACGGCCGCGGUACUCUGACCGUGCAAAGGUAGCAUAAUCAUUUGCCUUAUAAUUGAAGGCUAGUAUGAAUGGUUUGACAAGAAUAUAGCUGUCUCUUUAUAGUUUAGCAGAAUUUUAUUUUUAGGUGAAGAAGCUUAAAUUAGAUUAAAAGACAAGAAGACCCUAUCGAGCUUGAAAGAAUUUAAUAGAAUUUUAAGUUCAUUAAAUUAAAAAAUUAUCUAUUAAAAACUUUAGUUGGGGCGACUGAGGAACAUAUAAAGCUUCCUUUAUUAAAGUUAUUCAUACUUGAAUUGAUCCAAAACAUAUUUUGAUUAAAGGAAAUAGUUACCGUAGGGAUAACAGCAUUAUCUUUUUUAAGAGCUCUUAUCGAAAAAAAGGUUUGUGACCUCGAUGUUGGACCAGAAUAUCCUAAAGGUGCAGCAGCCUUUAAAGGUUGGUCUGUUCGACCAUUAAAAUUCUACGUGA